Molecule: transfer RNA, 74 nt
Filed under: Candidatus Tremblayella phenacoccinincola
Lineage: Bacteria; Pseudomonadati; Pseudomonadota; Betaproteobacteria
Description: Candidatus Tremblaya phenacola tRNA-Met
Rfam family: tRNA
About the family: Transfer RNA (tRNA) molecules are approximately 80 nucleotides in length. Their secondary structure includes four short double-helical elements and three loops (D, anti-codon, and T loops).
Source: RNAcentral
UGGUCCUUUAGCUCAGUGGUAGAGCGUGCGGCUCAUAAUCGCUUGGUCACAGGUUCGAGACCUGUAUGGACCAA